RNAcentral lists this ribosomal RNA (695 nucleotides) under uncultured bacterium. RNAcentral's name for it is "bacterial SSU rRNA". It matches the Rfam family "Bacterial small subunit ribosomal RNA", at positions 48 to 725 of the family's 1533-position model. The record is from RNAcentral.
CUAAUACAUGCAAGUCGAACGCUGAAACACUCUGCUUGCAGAGUGUGGAUGAGUGGCGAACGGGUGAGUAACACGUGGGGAAUCUGCCUAUAAGUGGGGGAUAACAUUCGGAAACGGAUGCUAAUACCGCAUAUAUUCAAAAACCGCAUGGUUUCUGAAAGAAAGACGGCUUUGCUGUCGCUUAUAGAUGAUCCCGCGGCGUAUUAGUUAGUUGGUGGGGUAAUGGCCUACCAAGACCAUGAUACGUAGCCGACCUGAGAGGGUGAUCGGCCACACUGGGACUGAGACACGGCCCAGACUCCUACGGGAGGCAGCAGUAGGGAAUCUUCCACAAUGGGUGCAAACCUGAUGGAGCAAUGCCUCGUGAAUGAAGAAGGUCUUCGGAUCGUAAAGUUCUGUUAUUAGAGAAGAACAAGUCAAGGAGUAACUGUCUUGACUUUGACGGUACCUAACCAGAAAGUCACGGCUAACUACGUGCCAGCAGCCGCGGUAAUACGUAGGUGACAAGCGUUGUCCGGAAUUAUUGGGCGUAAAGGGAGCGCAGGCGGUUGGAAUAGUCUGAUGUGAAAGCCCACGGCUUAACCGUGGAAGGUCAUUGGAAACUGUCCAACUUGAAUGCAGAAGAGGUAAGUGGAAUUCCAUGUGUAGCGGUGAAAUGCGCAGAGAUAUGGAGGAACACCAGUGGCGAAGGCGGC